Molecule: non-coding RNA, 77 nt
Organism: Podarcis lilfordi (Lilford's wall lizard)
Lineage: Eukaryota; Metazoa; Chordata; Lepidosauria; Squamata; Lacertidae
Source: the annotation of a GenBank genome assembly
GCUUCUCGCAUAGCUCAGUUGGUUAGAGUGUGAUGCUGGUAAUAGCAAGGUCACAGGUUUGAUCCCCGUAUGGGGCA